Dicentrarchus labrax (European seabass) is the source of this 1695-nucleotide long non-coding RNA. RefSeq lists it as uncharacterized. The record is from RefSeq and is a predicted model, not a curated record. The transcript has 2 exons. Lineage: Eukaryota; Metazoa; Chordata; Actinopteri; Moronidae.
AGGGAGGGAGGGACGGAGGGGGAGGAGGUUGCAGAGAGGGGAAAAGAAGAAGAAGAAGAAGAAGAAGAAGAAGAGAAAAAACAGGCAGUCGAGGGCCUGGGAUCAGUGCUGUCCGUGCUCGGAUUACCUCCGUGGUUUGAAUUGAACUCUCAUCCUGCUGCUUGUGACAUGACGCUGUACGGCCGCUGUUGACACCAGACCCUUGUUUAACCCUCCAACAUUGUCAAGCCUCAUUAUACGUCAGCUCUUGACCCUCACAAGACUGGAAAUUAACCAGUGCUGACAGACGACUGUCACCACCGGCCAGGGAGGUCACUGCCGUUAAUGCAGUUCCAGGACGGGAAGAUGACAGCCAUCUAUGCCGUGUUUAUGGAGCCCAGGCCCAUCAACGUGGGAUCAUGAUAGAGCUGUAAUGUAGAGACGGACAAAGAGAAAUAAAGUAAGAGAAAAAGAAAUAAAGGGUCAGAGACACAGACACAGAUAUUCAAGCGUGGCACAUUGACCGGUUGAAAGAUGGCUAUUUUAUAUGAUUGAUAGAGCAUGUCUGUGUUUCUCAAGUAUUGACAUUUUUGAAAAAUAGUGAUGUCAGAAGUAAGGUUUAGCUUAGUGUAUACCCAGCCCACACACAAUCCAGGGAAUACCUCUUAAAAACAAAAAAAACCCAUCCACUCACAGUGUGAAAUUCUAAUAAUUGUCCUCGCUUCAUUGUUGAAUGGUAUGAAAUCUGUCACAGUACAUGAACCAUAAUCAUAAAUCCAAUGCAACUACUGUGCAAAUGGCCAGGGACAUUACAGAUAACUGCAUUCUGCACAGGCUCAACAGUGUGACAAUGAAGCAAUACCUUGCUAAUACCAGGACUUUUCAACAAUAGCCUGUAGUAUGUACUGCAGCGCUUCACAGCUUCAGUGAGCCAAGAGGCUUCGAGUCGGCAGAAUCCCAAACAUCAUGACAACAAGCCAUCAGUCAUCUUCCCCCCAAGCUGCUGUGCACACUUGUGUGUUUCCGGAGUUCUUACUGUGGGAAAUGAGCAGGGUUAAACAUGAAACAGGAGGAAAUGUUCAUCAUUGCAGCACAGUCUGCAUUAUUCCCCCUCAUACGGCAUUGUUUUCGCUGCAGGGAAAGAGAAGGAGUGGUUUUUAAUUUUUUUUUUUGCUUAAACAUCCCCUGCUUGUUCACAAUGCAGAUCAGUACUCUACUGUGCAUGCUAAUCAUGGUUAAUAGCAAAAUGCUGAUAGAAAAAUGACACUGUAUUAAGAAAGCACUAAUCUUCUGUUGAGAUUCAGGAAGGAUUAUUACUGCAGUCAAAAAAGGAAAAAUGUCAACCAUGGUGACGUUUGAGAGUUAAAAGUCUAGAUAAUCAAGGUAUUGGAUAAUGACGACAUCUAUAUAUUAGUUUAAUGUCAUUUAUUUCCAAUUAAGUAUGUUUAAUUAUCUUUUUUCUCACUGUCUGAUAUUAAAAUAUAAUCUGUGUCAGCUCGUUCCUGUUCUCUAUUGAAGCUAUAUGAUGUGAAGAAUUCCAAUUCCAACCAUCGGCUCCAUGAAAUUUAUGGCUGCAUAUUCCAUCAAAUGGAAAUAUUCUAGGUGUCUCGUGCAUCAUUUUAUACGCAUUUCCCGAAAAUGCAGGCUGACAUAUUUUGUAUCUUUGGAAACUUUGGUCUCUCUAGUAGAAUUCAAAAUAAAGUUAACUGGCUUAGA